UCCAUACAGUGUUCCAGGUCAGUCAGAAACAGAGUAGAGACCCUGUUUCAAAAAUAAAUAAAUAUACAAGAAAAAAAUUAACUGUACUGGAUCCCAAAGACUGGGGUGGACCUCUUAAUGUCUAGUGUCCCUUAUCUUAAGAUUUGAUGCAAUAUAA
This 157-nucleotide small nucleolar RNA is filed under the name Nannospalax galili (Upper Galilee mountains blind mole rat). RNAcentral describes it as "Small nucleolar RNA SNORA81 (ENSNGAG00000006550.1)". It matches the Rfam family "Small nucleolar RNA SNORA81". Lineage: Eukaryota; Metazoa; Chordata; Mammalia; Rodentia; Spalacidae. The record is from Rfam by way of RNAcentral.